UACGUAGGGUGCGAGCGUUGUCCGGAUUUAUUGGGCGUAAAGAGCGUGUAGGCGGCCAGGUAGGUCUGCUGUGAAAACUCGAGGCUCAACCUCGAGACGUCGGCGGAAACCAUCUGGCUAGAGUCCGGAAGAGGAGAGUGGAAUUCCUGGUGUAGCGGUGAAAUGCGCAGAUAUCAGGAAGAACACCCGUGGCGAAGGCGGCUCUCUGGGACGGUACUGACGCUGAGACGCGAAAGCGUGGGGAGCGAACAGG
This 253-nucleotide ribosomal RNA is filed under the name uncultured bacterium. Its description in RNAcentral is "partial 16S ribosomal RNA". It matches the Rfam family "Bacterial small subunit ribosomal RNA", at positions 524 to 776 of the family's 1533-position model. The record is from RNAcentral.